UCGGCUCCGGUUCACGCUUCCGCAUCCCGCGGACGGCGACCCGGCGCC
This is a non-coding RNA of Streptomyces sp. e14, 48 nucleotides long. Lineage: Bacteria; Bacillati; Actinomycetota; Actinomycetes; Kitasatosporales; Streptomycetaceae. The record is from Rfam.